CAAGUCGAGCGAAUCGAUGGGAGCUUGCUCCCUGAGAUUAGCGGCGGACGGGUGAGUAACACGUGGGUAACCUGCCUGUAAGAUUGGGAUAACUCCGGGAAACCGGAGCUAAUACCGGAUAACAUUUUGAACCGCAUGGUUCAAAAUUGAAAGAUGGUUUCGGCUAUCACUUACAGAUGGACCCGCGGCGCAUUAGCUAGUUGGUGAGGUAACGGCUCACCAAGGCAACGAUGCGUAGCCGACCUGAGAGGGUGAUCGGCCACACUGGGACUGAGACACGGCCCAGACUCCUACGGGAGGCAGCAGUAGGGAAUCUUCCGCAAUGGACGAAAGUCUGACGGAGCAACGCCGCGUGAACGAUGAAGGCCUUCGGGUCGUAAAGUUCUGUUGUUAGGGAAGAACAAGUACCAGAGUAACUGCUGGUACCUUGACGGUACCUAACCAGAAAGCCACGGCUAACUACGUGCCAGCAGCCGCGGUAAUACGUAGGUGGCAAGCGUUGUCCGGAAUUAUUGGGCGUAAAGCGCGCGCAGGUGGUUUCUUAAGUCUGAUGUGAAAGCCCACGGCUCAACCGUGGAGGGUCAUUGGAAACUGGGGAACUUGAGUGCAGAAGAGGAAAGUGGAAUUCCAAGUGUAGCGGUGAAAUGCGUAGAGAUUUGGAGGAACACCAGUGGCGAANGCGACUUUCUGGUCUGUAACUGACACUGAGGCGCGAAAGCGUGGGGAGCGAACAGGAUUAGAUACCCUGGUAGUCCACGCCGUAAACGAUGAGUGCUAAGUGUUAGAGGGUUUCCGCCCUUUAGUGCUGCAGCUAACGCAUUAAGCACUCCGCC
This 833-nucleotide ribosomal RNA is filed under the name uncultured Bacillus sp. Its description in RNAcentral is "bacterial SSU rRNA". It matches the Rfam family "Bacterial small subunit ribosomal RNA", at positions 58 to 873 of the family's 1533-position model. Lineage: Bacteria; Bacillati; Bacillota; Bacilli; Caryophanales; Bacillaceae. The record is from RNAcentral.